GGCGGCGUGCCUAACACAUGCAAGUCGAACGAGAAAGUGGAGCAAUCCAUGAGUACAGUGGCGUACGGGUGAGUAACACGUGACUAACCUACCCUCGAGUGGGGAAUAACUUCGGGAAACCGAGGCUAAUACCGCAUAAUGUCUACGGACCAAAUGCGUAAGCAGCUUGAGGAGGGGGUCGCGGCUGAUUAGCUGGUUGGCGGGGUAAUGGCCCACCAAGGCAAUGAUCAGUAGCCGGCCUGAGAGGGCGCACGGCCACACUGGAACUGAAACACGGUCCAGACUCCUACGGGAGGCAGCAGUGGGGAAUUUUGCGCAAUGGGGGAAACCCUGACGCAGCAACGCCGCGUGGAGGAUGAAGCCCCUUGGGGUGUAAACUCCUUUCGAUCGGGACGAUUAUGACGGUACCGGAUGAAGAAGCACCGGCUAACUCUGUGCCAGCAGCCGCGGUAAUACAGAGGGUGCAAGCGUUGUUCGGAAUUAUUGGGCGUAAAGGGUGCGUANGCGGUGCGGUAAGUCUUCUGUGAAACCUCCGGGCUUAACUCGGAGCCUGCAGGGGAAACUGCCGUGCUGGAGUAUGGGAGAGGUGA
RNAcentral lists this ribosomal RNA (590 nucleotides) under uncultured bacterium. RNAcentral's name for it is "bacterial SSU rRNA". It matches the Rfam family "Bacterial small subunit ribosomal RNA", at positions 38 to 660 of the family's 1533-position model. The record is from RNAcentral.